CCUUAUUUGAAAUGUCUUUGUGUAGUUGUUCAAUCAGGGUAAACUAAUUCAUAGUAUACAAUGGGAAGUGAUCUAUUUUCUACUUCUUUAUUAUUAUUGUAUUGUUUUGAAAUAUUUUUGAUAAAUUAGUAUUAAUUUUAUGUGAUUUUAAUAACACAUCAAUGAGUUCCUGAUGAGGGCAGGGAGGUGAAUCCUAAGAACAAUCAUGUGAGUUUGGAAGGAGACCCUUCCCCAGCUGAGCCUCAGCCUGAGCCAUCACCUACAUCUAGACCGAAGACCCAGAGAAACUGCAACAUUUGAAACCCAGGAGCCACUGCUUCAGGAAGGCUCCAUCAGGAACUGUUCAGGACCAUGCACUCUGUUGAUACUCACAUGGUGGAAUUAUAUUGCCCUUGGCCAACCCUAAAGCCAUCAAGAUAGCAG
This 423-nucleotide long non-coding RNA is filed under the name Homo sapiens (human). RNAcentral describes it as "HSALNT0217412". The record is from RNAcentral. Lineage: Eukaryota; Metazoa; Chordata; Mammalia; Primates; Hominidae.